UUAAGGAAACCAAGUACUUGUGUCCUAAGUAUAGAAGCUUAAGAGGUUUGUUCUUAGAGCUAAGAUUAGGAAACCCUAUACUUGUAGGAAAG
Molecule: long non-coding RNA, 92 nt
Organism: Papaver somniferum (opium poppy)
Lineage: Eukaryota; Viridiplantae; Streptophyta; Magnoliopsida; Ranunculales; Papaveraceae
Exons: 3
Source: RefSeq, a predicted model, not a curated record